This 465-nucleotide ribosomal RNA is filed under the name Vreelandella stevensii. Its description in RNAcentral is "partial 16S ribosomal RNA". It matches the Rfam family "Bacterial small subunit ribosomal RNA", at positions 338 to 795 of the family's 1533-position model. The record is from RNAcentral. Lineage: Bacteria; Pseudomonadati; Pseudomonadota; Gammaproteobacteria; Oceanospirillales; Halomonadaceae.
CCUACGGGAGGCAGCAGUGGGGAAUAUUGGACAAUGGGGGCAACCCUGAUCCAGCCAUGCCGCGUGUGUGAAGAAGGCCCUCGGGUUGUAAAGCACUUUCAGUGAGGAAGAACGCCUGGUGGUUAAUACCCAUCAGGAAAGACAUCACUCACAGAAGAAGCACCGGCUAGCUCCGUGCCAGCAGCCGCGGUAAUACGGAGGGUGCGAGCGUUAAUCGGAAUUACUGGGCGUAAAGCGCGCGUAGGUGGCUUGAUAAGCCGGUUGUGAAAGCCCCGGGCUCAACCUGGGAACGGCAUCCGGAACUGUCAAGCUAGAGUGCAGGAGAGGAAGGUAGAAUUCCCGGUGUAGCGGUGAAAUGCGUAGAGAUCGGGAGGAAUACCAGUGGCGAAGGCGGCCUUCUGGACUGACACUGACACUGAGGUGCGAAAGCGUGGGUAGCAAACAGGAUUAGAUACCCCGGUAGUC